RNAcentral lists this ribosomal RNA (253 nucleotides) under uncultured bacterium. RNAcentral describes it as "partial 16S ribosomal RNA". It matches the Rfam family "Bacterial small subunit ribosomal RNA", at positions 524 to 776 of the family's 1533-position model. The record is from RNAcentral.
UACGUGGGGUGCAAACGUUGCUCGGAAUUACUGGGCGUAAAGGGCUCGUAGGCGGCCAACUAAGUCAGACGUGAAAUCCCUCGGCUUAACCGGGGAACUGCAUCUGAUACUGGAUGGCUUGAGUUCGGGAGAGGGAUGCGGAAUUCCAGGUGUAGAGGUGAAAUUCGUAGAUAUUAGGAAGAACACCGGUGGCGAAGGCGGCCCACUGGUCCGGUACUGACGCUGAGGUGCGAAAGCGUGGGGAGCAAACAGG